This 393-nucleotide ribosomal RNA is filed under the name uncultured bacterium. RNAcentral describes it as "partial 16S ribosomal RNA". It matches the Rfam family "Bacterial small subunit ribosomal RNA", at positions 523 to 918 of the family's 1533-position model. The record is from RNAcentral.
AUACGUAGGGAGCAAGCGUUAUCCGGAUUCAUUGGGCGUAAAGCGCGCGUAGGCGGCCAUGCAAGCAAAACCUCUAAUCCGAGGGCUCAUCCCCCGGCCGGGUUUUGAACUGCAUGGCUCGAGUUGGGUAGAGGCAAGCGGAAUUCCCGGUGUAGCGGUGAAAUGCGCAGAUAUCGGGAAGAACACCGAUGGCGAAGGCAGCUUGCUGGGCCUUGACUGACGCUGAGGUGCGAAGGCGGGGGGAGCGAACAGUAUUAGAUCCCCUGGUAGUCCACGCCGUAAACGAUGGGCACUAGGUGUGGGGGAGCCUCUCCUCCGUGCCGCAGCUAACGCAUUAAGUGCCCCGCCUGGGGAGUACGGCCGCAAGGCUAAAACUCAAAUGAAUUGGCGGGG